This 499-nucleotide ribosomal RNA is filed under the name uncultured bacterium. RNAcentral's name for it is "partial 16S ribosomal RNA". It matches the Rfam family "Bacterial small subunit ribosomal RNA", at positions 28 to 507 of the family's 1533-position model. The record is from RNAcentral.
GACGAACGCUGGCGGCGGGCUUAACACAUGCAAGUCGAACGGGCCUGUCUUCUUUUUUGGGGGUGGGUUGAGUGGCGAACGGGUGAGUAUCACGUGAGUAACCUGCCCUUCGGUCCUGGAUAACCGCUUGAAAGGGCGGCUAAUACGGGGUGGUCCGGUUGGUCCGCAUGGGCUGGUCGGGAUAGAUUCACUGUUUUUGGUGUUUCGGCGGGGGAUGGGCUCGCGGCCUAUCAGCUUGUUGGUGGGGUGAUGGCCUACCAAGGCGGUGACGGGUAGCCGGCCUGAGAGGGUGGGCGGCCACACUGGGACUGAGAUACGGCCCAGACUCCUGCGGGAGGCAGCAGUGGGGGGUAUUGCACAAUGGGCGGAAGCCUGAUGCAGCGACGUCGCGUGAGGGAUGGAGGCCUUCGGGUUGUGAACCUCUGUUUCCGGUGGUGAAGGCCCUGUCCGUGUGGUGGGGUUGACGGUAGCCGGGGAUGAAGCGCCGGCUAACUACGUG